GCAAGUCGAGCGGACCGAACUGGAAGCUUGCUUCUGUUCGGUUAGCGGCGGACGGGUGAGUAACACGUGGGUAACCUGCCCGUAAGACCGGGAUAACUCCGGGAAACCGGGGCUAAUACCGGAUAACACCAAAGACCGCAUGGUCUUUGGUUGAAAGGUGGCUUUUGCUACCACUUACGGAUGGGCCCGCGGCGCAUUAGCUAGUUGGUGAGGUAACGGCUCACCAAGGCGACGAUGCGUAGCCGGCCUGAGAGGGUGACCGGCCACACUGGGACUGAGACACGGCCCAGACUCCUACGGGAGGCAGCAGUAGGGAAUCUUCCGCAAUGGACGAAAGUCUGACGGAGCGACGCCGCGUGAGCGAAUAAGGUCUUCGGAUCGUAAAGCUCUGUUGUUAGGGAAGAAGAAGUACCGUUCGAAUAGGGCGGUACGGUGACGGUACCUAACGAGAAAGCCCCGGCUAACUACGUGCCAGCAGCCGCGGUAAUACGUAGGGGGCGAGCGUUGUCCGGAAUUAUUGGGCGUAAAGCGCGCGCAGGCGGUCCCUUAAGUCUGAUGUGAAAGCCCACGGCUCAACCGUGGAGGGUCAUUGGAAACUGGGGGACUUGAGUGCACAAGAGGAGAGCGGAAUUCCACGUGUAGCGGUGAAAUGCGUAGAGAUGUGGAGGAACACCAGUGGCGAAAGCCGCUCUCUGGUCUGUAACUGACGCUGAAGCGCCAAAGCGUGGGGAGCAAACAGGAUUUUAUACCCUGGGGGUCCCCCCCCUAAACCAUGAGUGC
This 780-nucleotide ribosomal RNA is filed under the name Parageobacillus toebii. RNAcentral's name for it is "bacterial SSU rRNA". It matches the Rfam family "Bacterial small subunit ribosomal RNA", at positions 57 to 816 of the family's 1533-position model. The record is from RNAcentral. Lineage: Bacteria; Bacillati; Bacillota; Bacilli; Caryophanales; Anoxybacillaceae.